RNAcentral lists this long non-coding RNA (609 nucleotides) under Elaeis guineensis (African oil palm). RNAcentral's name for it is "long non-coding RNA (EGUI_LNC064031)". Lineage: Eukaryota; Viridiplantae; Streptophyta; Magnoliopsida; Arecales; Arecaceae. The record is from RNAcentral.
GCACCCAUAAUCCUAAGAGCCAUCUCAUGACAUGGAGAAUUAAGAAACGCAUGGAGAAAUAAAGGAAGGAAUUAAGAGUUUGACAUGAAAUGGACUCUUCUAUUUCAUCAUACAAAAAAGUAGGCAUCCAAAAAUAAUUUUGGCAUGGAGUUCCUUCUUAGAGAAGGACUCCUUCUCCUCUUCCAUGCCCAUAUAUCCCAAGGCACCAUUUGAUGGCACACAAAAUUAAAGGACAUGUGGAAUAUGUAAGGAAAUUAAGAUAAGUAAACGAGAAGGACUCCUCUCCUUAAACACCCAAAAUAAAUGUGGCGUAACAAAUAUAUUAGCAUGUGGUUUUUGGCAUGGAGAUGAUUUAAUCCAUAUGGAACACUUUCAUAAAAUCCAGAUAAAUCAACUAAUAAAUUAGAUGGUUCAAACCUAAUCACAUUAGGUCAAGGCAACAAGUCUAGGUUAGCACAAACACCUUUGCACUGAACCCAAUUGAAAACUUGGGUUAAUUCAUGUGCUAGAAAUUCAAAUAACCCAUUGAAUUUAUAAUAAAUCCAAAUAGAUUGGACCAAGAUCAAAUUUCUAUUGUGUGUGACCCAUUGGGAUCCAAAUCUAGCCAGC